RNAcentral lists this ribosomal RNA (373 nucleotides) under uncultured organism. RNAcentral describes it as "bacterial SSU rRNA". It matches the Rfam family "Bacterial small subunit ribosomal RNA", at positions 526 to 896 of the family's 1533-position model. The record is from RNAcentral.
CGGGGGGAGCAAGCGUUGUUCGGAUUUACUGGGCGUAAAGGGCGCGUAGGCGGCGCAACAAGUCACUUGUGAAAUCUCCGGGCUUAACCCGGAGCGGCCAAGUGAUACUGUCGUGCUAGAGUGCGGAAGGGGCUACUGGAAUUCUCGGUGUAGCGGUGAAAUGCGUAGAUAUCGAGAGGAACACCUGCGGCGAAGGCGGGUAGCUGGGCCGACACUGACGCUGAGGCGCGAAAGCCAGGGGAGCGAACGGGAUUAGAUACCCCGGUAGUCCUGGCCUUAAACGAUGGAUGCUUGGUGUCCGGGGUUACAUAGUCCCGGGGUGCCGGCGCUAACGCAUUAAGCAUCCCGCCUGGGGAGUACGGUCGCAAGACUG